CCUACGGGAGGCAGCAGUGGGGAAUAUUGGGCAAUGGGCGAAAGCCUGACCCAGCAACGCCGCGUGAAGGAAGAAGGCUUUCGGGUUGUAAACUUCUUUUGACAGGGAAGAGCAGAAGACGGUACCUGUCGAAUAAGCCACGGCUAACUACGUGCCAGCAGCCGCGUUAAUACGUAGGUGGCAAGCGUUGUCCGGAUUUACUGGGUGUAAAGGGCGUGUAGCCGGGCUGACAAGGCAGAUGUGAAAUCCGGGGGCUCAACCCCCGAACUGCAUUUGAAACUGUUGGUCUUGAGUAUCGGAGAGGCAGGCGGAAUUCCUGGUGUAGCGGUGAAAUGCGUAGAUAUUAGGAGGAACACCAGUGGCGAAGGCAGCCUGCUGGACGACCACUGACGGUGAGGCGCGAAAGCGUGGGGAGCAAACAGGAUUAGAUACCCUUGUAGUC
This 442-nucleotide ribosomal RNA is filed under the name uncultured bacterium. RNAcentral's name for it is "partial 16S ribosomal RNA". It matches the Rfam family "Bacterial small subunit ribosomal RNA", at positions 338 to 795 of the family's 1533-position model. The record is from RNAcentral.